This 276-nucleotide small RNA is filed under the name Pongo abelii (Sumatran orangutan). Lineage: Eukaryota; Metazoa; Chordata; Mammalia; Primates; Hominidae. The record is from RNAcentral.
GCCGGGCAUGAUGGCGCAUGCCUAUAAUCCCAGCUACUUGGGAGGCUGAGGCAGGAGAAUCGCUUGAAUCUGGGAGGUGGAGGUUGCGGUGAGCCGAGAUUGCUCCAUUGCACUCCAGCCUGGGCAACAGGAGCGAAACUCCAUCUCAAAAAAAAAAAGAGAGAGAGAAAAAAAAAGAGAUGAGGUCUUGCUCUGUCACCCAGGCUAGAGUGCAGUGGCACAACUGUAGCUCACUGCAGCCUUGAACUCCUGGGCUCAAGUGAUCCUCCUGCCUCA